Molecule: transfer RNA, 77 nt
Filed under: Actinobacillus lignieresii
Lineage: Bacteria; Pseudomonadati; Pseudomonadota; Gammaproteobacteria; Pasteurellales; Pasteurellaceae
Description: tRNA-Asp(gtc)
Rfam family: tRNA
About the family: Transfer RNA (tRNA) molecules are approximately 80 nucleotides in length. Their secondary structure includes four short double-helical elements and three loops (D, anti-codon, and T loops).
Source: RNAcentral
GGAGCGGUAGUUCAGCUGGUUAGAAUACCUGCCUGUCACGCAGGGGAUCGCGGGUUCGAGUCCCGUCCGUUCCGCCA